AACGAACGCUGGCGGCAUGCCUAACACAUGCAAGUCGAACGAAGGCUUCGGCCUUAGUGGCGCACGGGUGCGUAACGCGUGGGAAUCUGCCCUUGGGUUCGGAAUAACUCAGAGAAAUUUGAGCUAAUACCGAAUGAUGUCGAAAGACCAAAGAUUUAUCGCCCAAGGAUGAGCCCGCGUAGGAUUAGCUUGUUGGUGAGGUAAAGGCUCACCAAGGCGACGAUCCUUAGCUGGUCUGAGAGGAUGAUCAGCCACACUGGGACUGAGAUACGGCCCAGACUCCUACGGGAGGCAGCAGUGGGGAAUAUUGGACAAUGGGCGAAAGCCUGAUCCAGCAAUGCCGCGUGAGUGAUGAAGGCCUUAGGGUUGUAAAGCUCUUUUACCAGGGAUGAUAAUGACAGUACCUGGAGAAUAAGCUCCGGCUAACUCCGUGCCAGCAGCCGCGGUAAUGUCUGUACU
RNAcentral lists this ribosomal RNA (459 nucleotides) under uncultured bacterium. RNAcentral describes it as "bacterial SSU rRNA". It matches the Rfam family "Bacterial small subunit ribosomal RNA", at positions 29 to 531 of the family's 1533-position model. The record is from RNAcentral.